AUACGGAGGGUGCAAGCGUUAAUCGGAAUUACUGGGCGUAAAGCGCUCGUAGGCGGCUUGUUAAGUCGGAUGUGAAAGCCCCGGGCUCAACCUGGGAACUGCAUUCGAUACUGGCAAACUAGAGUAUAGAAGAGGCAAGUGGAAUUCCGGGUGUAGCGGUGAAAUGCGUAGAUAUCCGGAGGAACAUCAGUGGCGAAGGCGACUUGCUGGUCUAAUACUGACGCUGAGGAGCGAAAGCGUGGGGAGCAAACGGGAUUAGAUACCCCUGUAGUCC
Molecule: ribosomal RNA, 274 nt
Filed under: uncultured bacterium
Lineage: Bacteria
Description: partial 16S ribosomal RNA
Rfam family: Bacterial small subunit ribosomal RNA
Source: RNAcentral